UACGUAGGGUGCAAGCGUUAAUCGGAAUUACUGGGCGUAAAGCGUGCGCAGGCGGUUUGGUAAGACAGAUGUGAAAUCCCCGGGCUCAACCUGGGAAUUGCAUUUGUGACUGCCCGACUAGAGUGUGUCAGAGGGGGGUAGAAUUCCACGUGUAGCAGUGAAAUGCGUAGAGAUGUGGAGGAAUACCGAUGGCGAAGGCAGCCCCCUGGGAUAACACUGACGCUCAUGCACGAAAGCGUGGGGAGCAACAGG
RNAcentral lists this ribosomal RNA (252 nucleotides) under uncultured bacterium. Its description in RNAcentral is "partial 16S ribosomal RNA". It matches the Rfam family "Bacterial small subunit ribosomal RNA", at positions 524 to 775 of the family's 1533-position model. The record is from RNAcentral.